Molecule: transfer RNA, 73 nt
Filed under: Salmo salar (Atlantic salmon)
Lineage: Eukaryota; Metazoa; Chordata; Actinopteri; Salmoniformes; Salmonidae
Rfam family: tRNA
About the family: Transfer RNA (tRNA) molecules are approximately 80 nucleotides in length.
Source: Rfam by way of RNAcentral
UCCCGUGUGGCUCAGUUGGUAGAGUACGGUGUUUGCAACGCCAGGGUUGUGGGUUCGAUUCCCACGGGGGGAC